UACGGGGGGGGCAAGCGUUGUUCGGAAUUACUGGGCGUAAAGGGCGCGUAGGCGGCCAUGCGUGUCUUCCGUGAAAUCCCUCGGCUUAACUGAGGACGUGCGGAAGAAACUGCAAGGCUCGAGUCCGGGAGAGGGGGGUGGAAUUCCCAGUGUAGCGGUGAAAUGCGUAGAUAUUGGGAGGAACACCGGUGGCGAAGGCGGCCCCCUGGACCGGUACUGACGCUGAGGCGCGAAAGCGUGGGUAGCAAACAGG
This 253-nucleotide ribosomal RNA is filed under the name uncultured bacterium. RNAcentral describes it as "partial 16S ribosomal RNA". It matches the Rfam family "Bacterial small subunit ribosomal RNA", at positions 524 to 776 of the family's 1533-position model. The record is from RNAcentral.